CCUACGGGAGGCAGCAGUGGGGAAUAUUGCGCAAUGGGCGAAAGCCUGACGCAGCAACGCCGCGUGGGGGAUGAAGGCCUUCGGGUUGUAAACCUCUUUCAGCAGGGAAGAAGCGAAAGUGACGGUACCUGCAGAAGAAGCACCGGCUAACUACGUGCCAGCAGCCGCGGUAAUACGUAGGGUGCAAGCGUUGUCCGGAUUUAUUGGGCGUAAAGAGCUCGUAGGCGGUUAGUCACGUCGGAUGUGAAAUCCCGGAGCUUAACUCCGGGCCUGCAUUCGAUACGGGCUGACUCGAGUGUUGUAGGGGAGACUGGAACUCCUGGUGUAGCGGUGAAAUGCGCAGAUAUCAGGAAGAACACCGGUGGCGAAGGCGGGUCUCUGGGCAACUACUGACGCUGAGGAGCGAAAGCGUGGGGAGCAAACAGGAUUAGAUACCCUGGUAGUCCACGCCGUAAACGGUGGGCGCUAGGUGUGGGGAACAUUCCACGUUCUCUGCGCCGCAGCUAGCGCAUUAAGCGCCCCGCCUGGGGAGUACGGCCGCAAGGCUAAAACUCAAGGAAUUGACGG
This 567-nucleotide ribosomal RNA is filed under the name uncultured bacterium. RNAcentral describes it as "bacterial SSU rRNA". It matches the Rfam family "Bacterial small subunit ribosomal RNA", at positions 338 to 916 of the family's 1533-position model. The record is from RNAcentral.